AACGAACGCUGGCGGCGCGCCUAAUACAUGCAAGUCGAGCGAGAAGACGUAGCAAUACGUUUGUAAAGCGGCGAACGGGUGAGGAAUACAUGGGUAACCUACCCUCGAGUGGGGAAUAACUAGCCGAAAGGUUAGCUAAUACCGCGUACGCUCCUUGGACUUCGGUUCAGGGAGGAAAGCGAUACCGUGGGUAUCGCGCUCUUGGAUGGGCUCAUGUCCUAUCAGCUUGUUGGUGAGGUAACGGCUCACCAAGGCUUCGACGGGUAGCUGGUCUGAGAGGACGAUCAGCCACACUGGCACUGCGACACGGGCCAGACUCCUACGGAGGCAGCAGUAAGGAAUAUUGCGCAAUGGGCGAAAGCCUGACGCAGCGACGCCGCGUGGGGGAUGAAGGUCUUCGGAUUGUAACCCCUUUCGG
This 418-nucleotide ribosomal RNA is filed under the name uncultured bacterium. Its description in RNAcentral is "bacterial SSU rRNA". It matches the Rfam family "Bacterial small subunit ribosomal RNA", at positions 29 to 439 of the family's 1533-position model. The record is from RNAcentral.